RNAcentral lists this ribosomal RNA (433 nucleotides) under uncultured bacterium. RNAcentral describes it as "partial 16S ribosomal RNA". It matches the Rfam family "Bacterial small subunit ribosomal RNA", at positions 29 to 507 of the family's 1533-position model. The record is from RNAcentral.
AACGAACGCUGGCGGCAUGCCUAACACAUGCAAGUCGAACGAGAACUUCGGGUCUAGUGGCGCACGGGUGCGUAACGCGGGGGAACCUGCCCUUAGGUUCGGAAUAACUCCCCGAAAGGGGUGCUAAUACCGGAUAAUGUCUUCGGACCAAAGAUUUAUCGCCUUGGGAUGGGCCCGCGUUGGAUUAGCUAGUUGGUAGGGUAAAAGCCUACCAAGGCGACGAUCCAUAGCUGGUCUGAGAGGAUGAUCAGCCACACUGGGACUGAGACACGGCCCAGACUCCUACGGGAGGCAGCAGUGGGGAAUAUUGGACUAUGGGCGGAAGCCUGAUCCAGCAAUGCCGCGUGAGUGAUGAAGGCCUUAGGGUUGUAAAGCUCUUUUACCCGCGAUGAUAAUGACAGUACCGGGAGAAUAAGCUCCGGCUAACUCCGUG